AUAUUGGUCAAUGGAUGCAAGUCUGAACCAGCCAUGCCGCGUGCAGGAAGAAGGCCCUAUGGGUUGUAAACUGCUUUUGCCAGGGGAUAAAAAGUCCUUGCGAGGAUAAUUGAAGGUACCUGGUGAAUAAGCCACGGCUAACUACGUGCCAGCAGCCGCGGUAAUACGUAGGUGGCAAGCGUUGUCCGGAUUCAUUGGGCUUAAAGGGUGCGUAGGCGGCCUUAUAAGUCAGUGCUGAAAUAUCCCGGCUCAACCGGGAGGGUGGCAUUGAUACUGUAGGGCUUGAGUAAAGUUGAGGUAGGCGGAAUUGACGGUGUAGCGGUGAAAUGCUUAGAUAUCGUCAAGAACACCGAUAGUGAAGACAGCUUACUAAACUUUAACUGACGCUGAGGCACGAAAGUGUGGGGAUCAAAC
RNAcentral lists this ribosomal RNA (414 nucleotides) under uncultured bacterium. Its description in RNAcentral is "bacterial SSU rRNA". It matches the Rfam family "Bacterial small subunit ribosomal RNA", at positions 361 to 773 of the family's 1533-position model. The record is from RNAcentral.